Molecule: ribosomal RNA, 775 nt
Filed under: uncultured Neocallimastigales
Lineage: Eukaryota; Fungi; Neocallimastigomycota; Neocallimastigomycetes; Neocallimastigales
Description: partial large subunit ribosomal RNA
Rfam family: Eukaryotic large subunit ribosomal RNA
Source: RNAcentral
UAUGUGAUCGUCUCUCGCAUAUCAAUAAGCGGAGGAAAAGAAACUAACAAGGAUUCCCUUAGUAACGGCGAGUGAAGCGGGAAGAGCUCAAAUUUGAAAUCUUCAAGGUUUUACCUUGACGAAUUGUAGUUUAAAGAAGUGUUUUCUGUUGAAGUUUUGGUAAAAGUUCUUUGGGAAUAGGACAUCAUAGAGGGUGAGAAUCCCGUAUUUGACCAUUAUUUUCAGCUGUGUGAUACACUUUCAAAGAGUCGGAUUGUUUGGGAAUGCAGUCCAAAAUGGGUGGUAAAUUUCAUCUAAAGCUAAAUAUUGGCGAGAGACCGAUAGCGAACAAGUACCGUGAGGGAAAGAUGAAAAGAACUUUGAAAAGAGAGUUAAACAGUACGUGAAAUUGUCAAAAGGGAAGCGUUUGACACCAGUGUUGUUUUCUCGAAAAUCAAUUAAAAAGAGUUUAGAUUUUGUUGUGUAUUGACCUUAACAGCUUGCAUUUCAAUUUUCUUGCUUUUUUAAUGCACUUUUCGUUUAACAAGUCAACAUCAGUUUCUUUUGUUGUAGAAAGGUCAUUGGAAGGUGGCUUUCUUUUCGGAGAAAGUGUUUAUAGCCUUUGACUCCUGCAAUCGGAGAGACUGAGGUCUGCAGCGUAGAUCCUUCGGGGUUAGAUACAUUUGUGCUAAGUUAUAGCUUUUUAUAGACAACUUGUUGACUAUGAUUAGUCUUGUAGCUUACUCGCUUAUGCUAUUUUACCUACGCUUAGGAUGUUGAAGAUGUAGCACAUCAU